AGUGAACGCUGGCGGCGUGCUUAACACAUGCAAGUCGCACGAGAAAGCUUCUGCUUGCAGAGGCGAGUAAAGUGGCGCACGGGUGAGUAACACGUGUGUAAUCUACCUUCGAAUUGGGGAUAACGUUGCGAAAGCGACGCUAAUACCGAAUGACAUCCUUGAGUCUUUGGGCUUGAGGAUCAAAGGUGGCCUCUUCAUGAAAGCUACUGUUUGAAGAUGAGCCCGCGUCCCAUUAGCUAGUUGGUAGGGUAACGGCCUACCAAGGCUACGAUGGGUAGCUGGUCUGAGAGGAUGAUCAGCCACACUGGAACUGACACACGGUCCAGACUCCUACGGGAGGCUG
This 343-nucleotide ribosomal RNA is filed under the name uncultured Pseudomonadota bacterium. RNAcentral's name for it is "bacterial SSU rRNA". It matches the Rfam family "Bacterial small subunit ribosomal RNA", at positions 29 to 351 of the family's 1533-position model. The record is from RNAcentral. Lineage: Bacteria; Pseudomonadati; Pseudomonadota.